Molecule: long non-coding RNA, 2396 nt
Organism: Saccostrea cuccullata (small rock oyster)
Lineage: Eukaryota; Metazoa; Mollusca; Bivalvia; Ostreida; Ostreidae
Exons: 2
Source: RefSeq, a predicted model, not a curated record
GUGGGAGUUUUUGGGUACAAGUUUAUCUGUGCCUACCCACAGUUUUAAGCAAUAGUACAGAGUAGGCCGCAUAUAUGUACUUAUUGUGUGGGAGUUUUGGGUACAAAGUUUAUCUGUGCCUACGCACGGUGUUUAUCAAUAGCACAGAGUAAGCCGCGUAUAUGUUCUUAUUGUGUGGGAGUCUUGGGUUCAUCAUUUAUUUGUACCUAUCCACAUGUAUAAGAUAAGAACAAGGCUAAGGGUUUCUUUGUACCAGUAACAGUUUAUGUCGUGUUAUAUUUUUUGAUUUGGAUAUUUUUUAAGUUAAUUGUGGUCGAAGAAAUGAAAUUUCUCAAGAUCAAUGGCUUUAAUCGUUGUGCUUUGGCAUACCUAUGUUCAAGGAGUUUGUUCCUGGUAUCCUUGUAGAUUUUACUUAUAUACCAAUAAGAGUUGCAGAUGCCUUUUGAUGAAUUUGCCAGUGUGCAAAUUUGCUACAUCCUAGCAGCCGGAGUGAAGAGGAAGCGUAGCUAUAACUGUUAAUAGCCCAGAGAGCCUAGCAGAAUUGUGCCGGAUGCCAUGAAUGUUAAUGACACAGGUUUGAACUGUUUAUCAAAUAUUGACUCAGCGAGCGGUUCUAUCUAACAAAUUGCAUAAGAUCCGCACCGCCGAUGGAUAAUGUCCUAAACCAGCCCGUCCACUAGUGUUUUCUAAAUACAUUUUGACUUUACCAACAACUUUCAUGCUAUCAGCCGGUAUAAAAUCCAUAUGUUUGCAAGCUAAACUGCUUGCAGUGCUGUUACAGGUGUGCCCCAAAUCAGCCGGGUAAUCAGGAUAUCCACUACCGUUGGUUCACGAAGCAUCCAUACCAGCUAGAGCAUUCAAUUUGGUUUCGAAUAAAACAUUUACAGGCGAGUCAGCAAGUAAAUAAUAUACGAAGAUCCCUCCCUCCAUAAUAUUUCAAAUAAGUUCCCUAUAUGGCUAGUAAAUAUAGGAUUAAUUUAUUUUUAUAAGUUAGUACAGACCCCAUGCAAGGUCAGUACAAUAAUGAAAGGAUUUUCAAUUUAUGUCCCUGUUCGGAAAUUAAGCAUGGUCAGGCUAGAAUACAAUAAUAAUAAUAAUAAUAAUUAAAAUGAAUUAUUUUAAAUUGUUUCUAAUAGACAGCAUAAUGAAAGACACUGUUUUGUUUUACUAGCUCAUGUUGUACAUUGUACGUUUCUGCGGUCUUUAUCUUUAAAUAUUUAUUUGCCUUAAUUAACCCCAUGUAAAAUUUUUCUCAAUCAUUUAUUUAUAUAAAUGUGCUAUUAAUUUUCAGUCUUGUUUGACAUAUGUAGUUGAAAGAUAAUCGUUUUCUUUUGAUGUUUAGGAAGGGCAUUUUUGCACAUGGUGGCAGUAUUUCAUUCUUGACAUCUCUUCCCUGUCUGACGAUAGCAAUGUGAUUAACUCAUUCUUGUUAUCAAAUUUAUGGUUAGAUCCUAGGAUUGCGUUCUUUGAAUUUGCUAUGCUUAGCUCUACCUAAUUUCAGUGUGGUAAAUUAAUGUCUUACGGAUUCCCUAUGCUCAUGUAAUUUUCUAUCCUUGAUUUUAAUUGGCCGGUCAGUUUGAAAGUAGGCAGAGUUGUCAAAGAACCGAUUUGUGAGUUUUGUAAGGAAGGCAAUCUAGGAAUAUUACUGUGUUAUACAGUUUUGUAUUCUAUCUACGAAAUUUGUUCCAAAUUAAUUACUUGUGAAAUUUAGAUUUUUUGACUUACAAUAAAUUCUGAACUUUAGAGCCAACUUUUCAAUUGACACAAUAUACAUGGUGAAUUUAGUAUAAUCUAGGAAUGUUACACUCUAUUCAAAACGCUUAGGAACAUAAUGAAUUAACUUUCAUCGUGUAAAACUUCUUUAUACUUUUUGGAAUAGAAGUAAGGUAGAUUCCUCCAUGAAAAGGGCAUACUUUAUGGAAUUAAUGGAUACAACCUUUUGGGUCCGACAGUUCCAAGAGAAAGGGCUGUUAUGCAAAUAUUUUGGGGUUGUUUAUAUUUGUUGAAUUUCUGAUACAAAUGUAAAAAAAAAAAUUACAAUUUGGAAGAUACUCUUAAAACUGGUUUAAAAUAAAAAAAAAGAAAAAAAAAAAAAAAAAAAAAAAAUAAAUAAAUAAAUAAAUAAAUAAUAAAAUAAACACUCGCAUAGAUAUAAAGUUAAAUAAUUCAAGGUUGUAAUAAGUAGAAUGAUAUCUGACCGUGUGUCCUACUCAUGAGCACUCUCCGCAUAAUUCUUCUUCAAUCUUCAUAAUUAUCUGAAUAUCAAUUUAUUAUACCUGUUUUGUGGAACUAAAGUAUGUACAGUAAUUUAACUGUACCUUGAUCUCAAAUGGAGAGAGCUACAAUAUAGGUCCGAAGAUCAAAAAUUAGUCAAUGUUAAUUAUUGUUUUGUUCCA